AACGAACGCUGGCGGCGUGCCUAACACAUGCAAGUCGAACGAGAAUCCGGGCUUCGGCCCGGUAGUAAAGUGGCGCACGGGUGAGUAACACGUGGGUAACGUACACCGUAGUGGGGGAUAACCAGGUGAAAGCUUGGCUAAUACCGCAUGAGUCGGUCGGUUCGCGAGGACUGACCGGGAAAGUGGAGCAAUCCACGCUACGGGAUCGGCCCGCGGCCCAUUAGCUAGUUGGCGGGGUAAAGGCCCACCAAGGCGACGAUGGGUAGCUGGUCUGAGAGGAUGAUCAGCCACACUGGAACUGAGACACGGUCCAGACUCCUACGGGAGGCAGCAGUGGGGAAUUUUUGGCGCAAUGGGCGAAAGCCUGACGCAGCAACGCCGCGUGUGUGACGAAGGCCCCUAGGGUUUGUUAAAAGGCACUGUGGGAAGGGAAGAAAAAAUCGGGGGUUGUACCCCGUCUUGACGGUACCUUGUUAGAAAGCACCGGCUAACUCCGUGCCAGCAGCCGCGGUAAUACGGAGGGUGCAAGCGUUGUUCGGAAUUAUUGGGCGUAAAGGGCGUGUAGGUGGCACUCCAAGUCUGGUGUGAAAGCCCACGGCUCAACCGUGGAACUGCAUUGGAAAGCUGGGGAGCUCGAGUAUUGGAGGGGGUCGCGGAAUUCCCGGUGUAGAGGUGAAAUUCCGUAGAUAUCGGGAGGAACAUCAGUGGCGAAGGCGGCGACCUGGCCAUUUACUGACACUGAGACGCGAAAA
RNAcentral lists this ribosomal RNA (752 nucleotides) under uncultured bacterium. Its description in RNAcentral is "bacterial SSU rRNA". It matches the Rfam family "Bacterial small subunit ribosomal RNA", at positions 28 to 759 of the family's 1533-position model. The record is from RNAcentral.